Molecule: ribosomal RNA, 475 nt
Filed under: uncultured Bacteroidales bacterium
Lineage: Bacteria; Pseudomonadati; Bacteroidota; Bacteroidia; Bacteroidales
Description: bacterial SSU rRNA
Rfam family: Bacterial small subunit ribosomal RNA
Source: RNAcentral
AGCUACAGGCUUAACACAUGCAAGUCGAGGGGCAUCAGGAAGAAAGCUCGCUUUCUUUGCUGGCGACCGGCGCACGGGUGAGUAACACGUAUCCAACCUGCCCUUUACUCGGGGAUAGCCUUUCGAAAGAAAGAUUAAUACCCGAUGGCAUAAUGAUUCCGCAUGGUUUCAUUAUUAAAGGAUUCCGGUAAAGGAUGGGGAUGCGUUCCGUUAGGUUGUUGGUGAGGUAACGGCUCACCAAGCCUUCGAUGGAUAGGGGUUCUGAGAGGAAGGUCCCCCACAUUGGAACUGAGACACGGUCCAAACUCCUACGGGAGGCAGCAGUGAGGAAUAUUGGUCAAUGGGCGCUAGCCUGAACCAGCCAAGUAGCGUGAAGGAUGAAGGCUCUAUGGGUCGUAAACUUCUUUUAUAUAAGAAUAAAGUGCAGUAUGUAUACUGUUUUGUAUGUAUUAUAUGAAUAAGGAUCGGCUAACUC